RNAcentral lists this ribosomal RNA (822 nucleotides) under Klebsiella pneumoniae. Its description in RNAcentral is "partial 23S ribosomal RNA". It matches the Rfam family "Bacterial large subunit ribosomal RNA", at positions 1 to 867 of the family's 2925-position model. Lineage: Bacteria; Pseudomonadati; Pseudomonadota; Gammaproteobacteria; Enterobacterales; Enterobacteriaceae. The record is from RNAcentral.
GGUUAAGCGACUAAGCGUACACGGUGGAUGCCCUGGCAGUCAGAGGCGAUGAAGGACGUGCUAAUCUGCGAAAAGCGUCGGUAAGGUGAUAUGAACCGUUAUAACCGGCGAUGUCCGAAUGGGGAAACCCAGUGCAAUUCGUUGCACUAUCGUUAACUGAAUACAUAGGUUAACGAGGCGAACCGGGGGAACUGAAACAUCUAAGUACCCCGAGGAAAAGAAAUCAACCGAGAUUCCCCCAGUAGCGGCGAGCGAACGGGGAGCAGCCCAGAGUCUGAAUCAGCUUGUGUGUUAGUGGAACGGUCUGGAAAGUCUGACGGUACAGGGUGAUAGUCCCGUACACCAAAAUGCACAGGCUGUGAACUCGAAGAGUAGGGCGGGACACGUGGUAUCCUGUCUGAAUAUGGGGGGACCAUCCUCCAAGGCUAAAUACUCCUGACUGACCGAUAGUGAACCAGUACCGUGAGGGAAAGGCGAAAAGAACCCCGGCGAGGGGAGUGAAAAAGAACCUGAAACCGUGUACGUACAAGCAGUGGGAGCACCUUCGGGUGUGACUGCGUACCUUUUGUAUAAUGGGUCAGCGACUUAUAUUCUGUAGCAAGGUUAACCGUAUAGGGGAGCCGCAGGGAAACCGAGUCUUAACUGGGCGUUAAGUUGCAGGGUAUAGACCCGAAACCCGGUGAUCUAGCCAUGGGCAGGUUGAAGGUUGGGUAACACUAACUGGAGGACCGAACCGACUAAUGUUGAAAAAUUAGCGGAUGACUUGUGGCUGGGGGUGAAAGGCCAAUCAAACCGGGAGAUAGCUGGUUCUCCCCGAAAGCU